AACGCACAUUGCGCCCGCUGGUAUUCCGGCGGGCAUGCCUGUUCGAGCGUCAUUUCAACCCUCAAGCCCUCGGGUUUGGUGUUGGGGAUCGGCUCUGCCCUCUGGGCGGUGCCGCCCCCGAAAUACAUUGGCGGUCUCGCUGCAGCCUCCAUUGCGUAGUAGCUAACACCUCGCAACUGGAACGCGGCGCGGCCAUGCCGUAAAACCCCAACUUCUGAAUGUUGACCUCGGAUCAGGUAGGAAUACCCGCUGAACUUAA
Molecule: unclassified non-coding RNA, 259 nt
Filed under: uncultured Nectriaceae
Lineage: Eukaryota; Fungi; Ascomycota; Sordariomycetes; Hypocreales; Nectriaceae
Description: sequence contains ITS2
Rfam family: 5.8S ribosomal RNA (bases 1-52)
Source: RNAcentral